AGAGCAGGGGAAAGAUUUAGAAGAGAUUUUUUAGUCAAAAGAUUUAAAGAGCUUUCUAGUCAAUUACAGGUGAAAGCUAAUGACGAUUUGGAUUGAUGAGAAGCUGAAUAGCUAGUGGAGCCUAGAGGUCCCAUUGUUAAACAGUUGGUACCAAAGAGAACAUAUUCCAAAACAGUUGAUAUAAUAUACACUAUGUAAUAAGUUUUUUUACUCAUGAUUGAGUUCCUUCACCAGAAUAUUCCUUGGUGAUGUCUGAAAUUUCAGAUUUGAAAUAAAGCAUUGUUAUAUUGGGAUUAA
Salvia miltiorrhiza (redroot sage) is the source of this 297-nucleotide long non-coding RNA. RefSeq lists it as uncharacterized. The transcript is spliced from 2 exons. NCBI's taxonomy places the organism in Eukaryota, Viridiplantae, Streptophyta, Magnoliopsida, Lamiales, Lamiaceae. The record is from RefSeq and is a predicted model, not a curated record.